GAGCCCGUAGCUCAGCCGGUAGAGCACUUGACUUUUAAUCAAGGGGUCGUGGGUUCGAGUCCCACCGGGCUCGCCA
This 76-nucleotide transfer RNA is filed under the name Alphaproteobacteria bacterium. RNAcentral describes it as "tRNA-Lys". It matches the Rfam family "tRNA". Rfam says of the family: Transfer RNA (tRNA) molecules are approximately 80 nucleotides in length. Their secondary structure includes four short double-helical elements and three loops (D, anti-codon, and T loops). The record is from RNAcentral. Lineage: Bacteria; Pseudomonadati; Pseudomonadota; Alphaproteobacteria. RNAcentral also lists the same sequence under 1 other name.